CUGUUCUGGGUAGCUGGGGAAGGCUUCCUGGAGGACACAGCAUCCGGACCAGUCUUAAAGAUGAGGAGCAAGUUUUCCAUUUCUCAGCCUGAACAAACAUAAGGAUGUGUGACAACCCUGGAGUAAAGUCUGAAUGGGGACAAGGCACAAAAACUGAGGACUGAGAAAUAAGUUGGAGUUAGAUUUCAAAAGAAGGAACCCUGACAACUCUAUGAAAGAAGAAGUAGAGAAUUGAGAGACUGGAGAGAGAAGAUAAAUUGGCUGUCACCAUAGUCCACGUGAAAAAUAAUAAGUGCCUGGACCAAGGCAGUGGUAGUGAGCAUGGAAGGGGUAAGCCUGAAAUUCCAGAGACUUUCCAGAAGUAGAUGGAUAGAACUUGGUAAUGGCUGCAUACUGGAGAUUAAAGAGACAGGAGUUUUAACGACAUCUACAACAGAUGUGGACAUGAUAGCCAAUCUGACAGAAGAGGAAGAGCAGUCCUGUGGACACAGUAUUGAAUUUAAUUUUGGACAGGCUGAUCUGCAGCGCUGAGGAGUCAUCCAAAUGGAGAUGUGCAAUAAAUAGUUGUGCAUUCUGGUCUGGAGCCCAAGAGUCAGAGAUGAAGAUAAAAGGUGAAUGCCUGUAAAGAAUUAUCCCAACACAGCAAUAGUUGCUACUGACUGACACUGAUUAUGUGCCAGUCACGAUCUAAAAGCUUUAAUACAUUGUUUUAUGUAACUCUGUCACUGUCUUCCUGUUGAAGCUGGGAAACCUCAGAGAACCUGAAUAACUACCCAUAAAGAAAGUGAAUUUCACUCCUUAGAGGGAGAGCAUACAAGGUCAGUUGAGAAGAUGUUACUGUGAGUAACAGGAAGGUAAACUCAAACUCUGUAAUUUAUUGUAUUCACAUCAUUGAAAUGUCCCCAAGUAGGAUAGGUCCGGCUGAAAUUUGGCCCUAAACCUCAACCAUGUCUCAUAAGAACCAGCUUCCAUUCGACUCGUGCUCUGCCGUCCACAGGUUUACUCUGACUGACCAGUUUAAACCAUAUGCUCACUUCCUCCCAAUUAACUUGGCUGGAGGAACAUGCUGCGCUGACUCACUUAUACCUGGUUUCAUGUUCAUCCUGGUGAACCAGCCACUAUAGCCAGAAAGGAGGAUGGAUUAUGCUAAUUGGCAAAGGCCUAGCAGGGCCUGAUCUUGCUUUGUUGAUAUGGGCAUCAAUCCCAUUCAAAUUUUAGGAUUGGAAAAAGUUGAGUUCUUUAGGAAGGGAAAGGGGAUGAAGGGGAGACAAAUAACUUACCAAACAGAGUAACCAUGAAAGAGGAGCAAAGAUGAAAUUCUGGAAGGCACUAUACUUAAGGGACAGGUAAAAGAGGCGACAGUCUGCAAGAGAAUGCGAAAGAAUGAGGAAAUAAGAGGAAACCUGGGGAGAGCAGUGUCUCAGACACGGAAGACAGAGGAGUUCCAGGGUGCGCUGGAGGCUGACUGCAGAAAAGUCCCUUUGUGUUAGUUCUUGGGAAGGGAUUCAGCCAUUACUAAACAUUGC
This is a long non-coding RNA of Equus asinus (donkey), 1526 nucleotides long. NCBI's taxonomy places the organism in Eukaryota, Metazoa, Chordata, Mammalia, Perissodactyla, Equidae. The record is from Ensembl.